This 253-nucleotide ribosomal RNA is filed under the name uncultured bacterium. Its description in RNAcentral is "partial 16S ribosomal RNA". It matches the Rfam family "Bacterial small subunit ribosomal RNA", at positions 524 to 776 of the family's 1533-position model. The record is from RNAcentral.
UACGUAGGUGGCAAGCGUUGUCCGGAUUUAUUGGGUUUAAAGGGUGCGUAGGCGGCUCUGUACGUCAGUGCUGAAAUAUCCCGGCUUAACCGGGAGGGUGGCAUUGAUACUGCAGGGCUUGAGUAAAGUUGAGGUAGGCGGAAUUGACGGUGUAGCGGUGAAAUGCUUAGAUAUCGUCAAGAACACCGAUAGUGUAGACAGCUUACUAAGCUUUAACUGACGCUGAGGCACGAAAGUGUGGGGAUCAAACAGG